UAGGUGAGUUCUUAGUUUAGUUAUAGCUUUGGGGAUAAAUUUAAUGAAAUUGGGAGUUAGGAAUUUAUGAUAUAUACCAUGUUUGUUAAAUUGAUGAUUAAUAUAUGAACUUCGUGUUGGUUGUUGUUGAAAAAUCAUGUUAUGUGAAAAUAGUAGGUAAAAAUGGUAUAUGGAAAGGAAAAUAAAAGAGGAGUUAAUUAAGGAAAGAAGUUACUGUGAGAAUUAAUGGAA
This 231-nucleotide long non-coding RNA is filed under the name Lathyrus oleraceus (garden pea). Its description in RNAcentral is "Pisum sativum (pea) long non-coding RNA (PSAT_LNC041540)". The record is from RNAcentral. Lineage: Eukaryota; Viridiplantae; Streptophyta; Magnoliopsida; Fabales; Fabaceae.